This is a long non-coding RNA of Cynocephalus volans (Philippine flying lemur), 316 nucleotides long. RefSeq lists it as uncharacterized. The transcript has 3 exons. The record is from RefSeq and is a predicted model, not a curated record. Lineage: Eukaryota; Metazoa; Chordata; Mammalia; Dermoptera; Cynocephalidae.
CCCUCCUCUCUGACUUCCCAGGCUUGGGGGAGAUAUUCAAAGGAGAGUGAGUACCAACCCAUUCCCAGCCUGGGUGCCUAAGGAAGCACACAACAAGGUGGAACGUUAUUCAGCCAUAAAAAGGAAUGAAGGUCUGAUACAGGAUAUGUUGUGGAUGAAGACUGAAAAUGUGCUAAAUGAAAGAAGCCAGACACGAAGGUCACAUGGUGUAUGACUCCAUUUUUAUGAAAUGUCCAGAAUAGGCUGGCUGGUGCAGAGAUCAAACCGUAAACCUUGGUGUUAUCAGCACCACACUCCAACCGAGUAACCAGCCGGC